RNAcentral lists this ribosomal RNA (426 nucleotides) under uncultured bacterium. RNAcentral describes it as "bacterial SSU rRNA". It matches the Rfam family "Bacterial small subunit ribosomal RNA", at positions 355 to 774 of the family's 1533-position model. The record is from RNAcentral.
UGGGGAAUUUUGGACAAUGGGCGCAAGCCUGAUCCAGCCAUGCCGCGUGCGGGAAGAAGGCCUUCGGGUUGUAAACCGCUUUUGUCGGGGAGAAAAGCCUUGGGUUAAUACCCUGGGGUGAUGACGGUACCCGAAGAAUAAGCACCGGCUAACUACGUGCCAGCAGCCGCGGUAAUACGUAGGGUGCAGGCGUUAAUCGGAAUUACUGGUCGUAAAGCGUGCGCAGGCGGUUGUGUAAGACAGAUGUGAAAUCCCCGGGCUCAACCUGGGACCUGCAUUUGGGACUGUAUAGCGAGAGUGCGGUAGAGGGAGAUGGAAUUCCAGGUGUAACAGUGAAAUGCGUAGAUAUGCAGAGGAACACCGAUGGCGAAGGCAAUCCACUGGACCUGUACUGACGCUCAUGAACGAAAGCAUGAGGAGCAAACA